This is an unclassified non-coding RNA of Erinaceus europaeus (western European hedgehog), 354 nucleotides long. Its record names the gene 7SK. It matches the Rfam family "7SK RNA". From Rfam's summary of the family: 7SK was discovered as an abundant small nuclear RNA in the mid-70s but a possible function has only recently been suggested. Two independent studies have found that 7SK RNA binds the CDK9/cyclin T complex (known as elongation factor P-TEFb). P-TEFb activates transcription by phosphorylating the C-terminal domain of RNA polymerase II. The record is from Ensembl. Lineage: Eukaryota; Metazoa; Chordata; Mammalia; Eulipotyphla; Erinaceidae.
GGAUUGAGGGCAAUCUGGCUGCGACAUCUGUCACCCCAUUGAUCGCCAGGGUUGAUUUGGCUGAUCUGGCUGACUAAGCGGGUGUCCCCUUCCUCCCUCACUGCUCCAUAUGUGUCCCUCCCAAAGCUGCAUGCUCCCUGAAAGAGGAUGCCCCCCAAAAAAAAACAAGCUCUCAAGAAUAGGAAAUCUAUCAAGGGAGGGGAUGGGAUAAGGAUUUCUGGUGGUGCGAAUUGUGUGGAAUUGAACCCCUCUUAUCCUAUGGUCAUGUCAAUAUUUCUAUUUUAUAAAUAAAAAUUAUAUAAAAAUAACAACACAGUGGUAACUAUCCUGGCAGGUGGCUCAAUGGUAAAACAC